ACUCAAAUGAAUUGACGGGGGCCCGCACAAGCGGUGGAGCAUGUGGUUUAAUUCGACGCAACGCGAAGAACCUUACCUGGGCUUGAACUGUAGUGGAAACCGGCAGAGAUGUCGUCCUUCGCAAGAACUGCUACAGAGGUGCUGCAUGGCUGUCGUCAGCUCGUGUCGUGAGAUGUUGGGUUAAGUCCCGCAACGAGCGCAACCCUUACCCUUAGUUGCCAGCGCGUCAUGGCGGGAACUCUAGGGGGACUGCCCGGGUUAACCGGGAGGAAGGUGGGGAUGAUGUCAAGUCCUCAUGGCCCUUAUGUCCAGGGCUACACACGUGCUACAAUGGGCGAUACAAACCGUUGCAAGACCGCGAGGUGGAGCUAAUCGGAGAAAGUCGCCCUCAGUUCGGAUUGGAGUCUGCAACUCGACUCCAUGAAGGUGGAAUCGCUAGUAAUCGUGUAUCAGAAUGAUACGGUGAAUACGUUCCCGGGCCUUGUACACACCGCCCGU
This 498-nucleotide ribosomal RNA is filed under the name uncultured bacterium. RNAcentral describes it as "partial 16S ribosomal RNA". It matches the Rfam family "Bacterial small subunit ribosomal RNA", at positions 899 to 1397 of the family's 1533-position model. The record is from RNAcentral.